This 414-nucleotide ribosomal RNA is filed under the name uncultured microorganism. Its description in RNAcentral is "bacterial SSU rRNA". It matches the Rfam family "Archaeal small subunit ribosomal RNA", at positions 459 to 872 of the family's 1478-position model. The record is from RNAcentral.
CAGCCGCCGCGGUAAUACCGGCGGCCCGAGUGGCGGUCACUAUUAUUGGGCUUAAAGCGUCCGUAGCCGGGUUGGGAAGGCCUCCGGGAAAUCUGGCCGCUUAACGGUCAGAAUGCCGGAGGAUACUCCCAGCCUAGGGAGCGGGAGAGGCCGAGGGGAUUCCCGGAGUAGGGGGGAAAUCCUAUAAUCCCGGGAGGACCACCUGUGGCGAAGGCGCUCGGCUGGAACGCGUCCGACGGUGAGGGACGAAGGCCAGGGGAGCAAACCGGAUUAGAUACCCGGGUAGUCCUGGCUGUAAACGAUGCGGACUUUGUGUCGGACAAGCUAUGAGCUUGUCCGGUGCCGGAGGGAAACCGUUAAGUCCGCCGCCUGGGGAGUACGGCCGCAAGGCUGAAACUUAAAGGAAUUGGCGGG